This 527-nucleotide ribosomal RNA is filed under the name uncultured fungus. RNAcentral's name for it is "eukaryotic LSU rRNA". The stretch from base 188 to 339 matches the Rfam family "5.8S ribosomal RNA". Lineage: Eukaryota; Fungi. The record is from RNAcentral.
AAGUCGUAACAAGGUUUCCGUAGGUGAACCUGCGGAAGGAUCAUUACAGAAAGUAAACGCGGACCACACCGCGAACUUCUAAACCUUUGACGAUUGACUCAUGUUGCCUCGGCGGGUUCUCCCGCCAGAGGAUACAUUAAAACUCCUGUAUUUAACGGUGUUGUCUGAGCUACAAGCAACGAAUCAAAACUUUCAACAACGGAUCUCUUGGUUCUGGCAUCGAUGAAGAACGCAGCGAAAUGCGAUAAGUAGUGUGAAUUGCAGAACAUUGUGAAUCAUCGAAUCUUUGAACGCACAUUGCGCCUCCCUUCACCGGGAGGCAUGCCUGUCUGAGCGUCAUUUAAAACCAAUAAAUCCAUCUGGAUUUGUCUUGGGCCCUGCACCGACGGUGCAUCGCCUCGAAGGCAUAGGUCUUUAUCUGCGGACGAGUUCCUCUAGGGCUUACCGUAGGGUCGACCAUCCUGACCGGUCGCUUCGGCGACUGACCAUUUGACCUCAGAUCAGGUAGGAAGACCGCCUGAACUUAA